GUUAAGUAAACUAACUGGGGUGUGAGCCACCAUGCCCGGCCUGACAUCAGAGUCUUGGUAGAGAGCUCUGGUGUUUACUGUGUGGCUCUUCCAGUGAAACGUGUUCAUGUCUUCUCGUGAUCAGUCAUUUGAAUGUGGGCACCAUUGACUGAACUCAGCUGUACAUCACGAGGUAGAAUUUGUGAAGGACGUAUGUUCAUUUUGGGGUAGGCAUGGGGAAAAACAAAUUCAUGGAAGAAGUAUGGUCAGAACACUGAAAGUCAUUCUUUAAGUCUAAAGAUGUGGUAGAUGUUAAGUAAAGAAAUUGGGGCUGGGCGCGGUGUCUCAUGCCUGUAAUCCCAGCACUUUGGGAGACCAA
Molecule: long non-coding RNA, 358 nt
Organism: Sapajus apella (tufted capuchin)
Lineage: Eukaryota; Metazoa; Chordata; Mammalia; Primates; Cebidae
Exons: 3
Source: RefSeq, a predicted model, not a curated record